Molecule: long non-coding RNA, 2559 nt
Filed under: Bos grunniens (domestic yak)
Lineage: Eukaryota; Metazoa; Chordata; Mammalia; Artiodactyla; Bovidae
Description: lncRNA (ENSBGRG00000024580.1)
Source: RNAcentral
AUGGGGAGGUUUUGCCUCCCAGCCCUCACCCCAGGCUGGGCUCCCUGCUCCCUAGGGAGGACAUUUACCUGGUGUGUAAAUUGUGAGGAAAGCGUUGGGGGUCUGAGACAGGAAAGCCACAACAUGGGAUGUGAUGUUCCAGCUUUGAAGGGGAACAAAGGCCCUGAGCUAAUCCCAGUGAAAGCCAGGAGCGUGGAGAAGGCAACAAAGACUUGCAGCCUGCGGUCACCGGCACAAAGACACAACAUGGCUGCCCUCAAGAUGACCUAUUGCUUUCAAGUUGCUUGAACACAUCAGAAUUUCCAUUGUUAAGGUUGAUUAAUUGAAACUGAUAAGUUACCAUGAAUAAAGAUUGUUUUUCUGUUUAAUGUGGUGGGCCUGAUUUGGUAAAUGCCUCAUUCAUGUAGCUUUGCAGUGCAGCAUAUGGGCAAGAGUCAUUCAGUAUCACAAACAUAUACAAUUUAUUAUGCUUGUAUGGGCACAACCAAAAGGCCUUCCUAUUUUAACGACAAACUUUCAAUGAAAAAUUCCAUUUAAAGAGUCACUAGGAACAUGAUGUGGGAUUUUGUCAUUUAUUCUUAAGAGUUUACAUCUCUGAGUUUCUCUGAGUAGUUUUAAAACUAUUGUAUUUAAAUACAGUUUUAAAAAGGAUGCAAAUGUCCAAAUUAUACCUUAGCACUGGUCAUUGGGAAUACAGCAGAAUUUAUGUUAAAUGUUAACAGACAUACGAAGAGAAAGCACCUUUUCAUCUGACGCUGGCUUGUGUGCUAUGUAAUUGAUAAAGUGAUCUUAAAUGUUUCAUUGAGGUGCCAUCAACAGAAGUUUCCAAGUUUACAAAGAAAAUGUGAAGGUGUUAGCUUCCUAAAGUCUUUUUCCCUUUAAUAAAUCAGAAGACAACAUUUAAAAAUAAUUAGGGACUAUCACAUGAAAAUACAGUGGAUUUAUUAAUUUGCCCACAAUUUCAUUACUGUUAGCAUCCUUUCCUUGAAAGUUGAUGUCACUUUUCAGACUACAUUAAAACUGUCAUGAGUAUUUACCAAUAAAGGUAAGUUUUAAAAUUUUUCUAGUGAUGUUGUACAGAAACAUUCGUUUUCAUUUCAGCUGCUCACAUAAUCACCGAAGGAUAAUAAUGACAACAAAAAUCUACGAGAGACUUGCUAAUGAACUAAAGAAAUGACUGUAUCAAACCAUCAAAGAGAGAGUUACCAUAUUCAGCCUUUAAUGUCUUAUCAAAUAAAUUCUCUGGUCAUUCAUGUCCAUGAAACAGUUCAAGUUCACCCAACAUUUCUCAAUUAAAUUAGAUGGGUAAUCUCAGUUCAGCUCUUCGGAGAGUAAUAAACCACAUUGGUCACAGUUGACCACAGCUAGUAUGCGAUUCAUAAAGGACUGGAUGUCCAUUGGAAAGCUAAUCAGUGCACCGUCACUUGUAAAAUUCCUCCUGCAUUUUGAAGCGAUAAUCUGUAUCUAAUUUUUAAAGAAAAAUUUACUCUCCUUUCACUCUUCUGAGGCCAAUUUCUUUUCUGGACCUGAAUAGAGAUUAUUGGUGAACAGUACCAAAUAGCUUUGGUAUGUGUACAACAAAACCCACCUCUUUGUAGAACAUAACAAAUUAUGCAAUGUUCACAGAUGUGCUUUGCAUUGUGCCUUUGUGAGAAAAUGAAGGCCCAAGUCAAUUCCCACCCUCCUCUUUAUGAAAGCCUGGGCUCCCAUGCAAUCUGUCCUAAUCCUGGGGAAAAAAUCAUUAUACCUAAUAUGGAAGCUUCAGAUAGUUAUCUGAAAAGGGAUUUUUUCAUUUGCACUUUUGGUCUCUGUAAUUUGCAGAAAUAUGAGUUUGAAGUUGCAAGCAAAUUUGUUCCUAGAAACAAGCAGGAAGAUUAAAAUAUUAACUGCUCCUCUAACCCACAUCUGAUGUUUAGAGGAAAUGCUGUGUUCACAUGAUCUCAUGCUUGAAUUUAUAGGCCACCAAAGAAAUAGAGUCAUUUUCCAAUUACAGUUUGAAAAAAUUUACACACUGAAAAUAUUUUAAAUCUUGUUUCUGUAUUUUGGCUUUUUAUGAUUUUAUGGAGGAAGAGGUUAAUCCUAUUAUCAUGAGGUAGCCAUUGCUGCAGGAACGGUGACAAAUGCGGAGGGGCAUUCUCAGGUCUACCAUGCUUCAUGGGACCUCUGUAAAUACAGGUAUUACUUUUACUGAAUGUGCUGGUCUUUGGGAGUCAGUCUUUCAAGCACUGAGGAGAUUCUCUGCAUCCUCAGUACCUAGCCCAAGGCUUUGUUUGUAGUACAUGCUCACAGUUCCUCUAUGAUCCAGCAAUUCCACUCCCGGCAUAUAUCUGGACAAAAUAACAAUUCAAAAGAUACAUGCACCCAAAUGUUCAUAGUAGCACUAUUCACAAUUAGCCAAGACAUGGAAGCAACAUCAGUGUCCAUCAGCAGACGAGUGGAUAAAGAAGACGUGGCACAUAUAUACAAUGGAAUAUUACUCAGCUAUAAAAAAAAGAAUGAAAUAAUGCCAUUUUCAGCAACAUAGAAGGACCUAGAGACUAUCAUACUAAGUCAGUCAGA